RNAcentral lists this ribosomal RNA (382 nucleotides) under uncultured bacterium. Its description in RNAcentral is "bacterial SSU rRNA". It matches the Rfam family "Bacterial small subunit ribosomal RNA", at positions 419 to 793 of the family's 1533-position model. The record is from RNAcentral.
CGGAUUGUAAACCACUGUUGUAAGGGAAGAACGUUAUUAGUAGGAAAUGGCUAAUAAGUGACGGUACCUUACCAGAAAGGGACGGCUAACUACGUGCCAGCAGCCGCGGUAAUACGUAGGUCCCGAGCGUUAUCCGGAAUUAUUGGGCGUAAAGGGCACGUAGGCGGACAAAUAAGUUUGAUGUCAAAUAUGAUGGCUCAACCAUCAAGAGGCGUUGAAAACUGUUUAUCUAGAAUCUCGGAGAGGUAAGUGGAAUUCCAUGUGUAGCGGUGGAAUGCGUAGAUAUAUGGAGGAACACCAAUGGCGAAGGCAGCUUACUGGACGAAGAUUGACGCUGAGGUGCGAAAGCGUGGGUAGCAAACAGGAUUAGAUACCCUGGUAG